Molecule: long non-coding RNA, 562 nt
Filed under: Zalophus californianus (California sea lion)
Lineage: Eukaryota; Metazoa; Chordata; Mammalia; Carnivora; Otariidae
Description: lncRNA (ENSZCAG00015002293.1)
Source: RNAcentral
UCGCUGCCCAGGUUUCCUGUCCUUGAGGACCCGGGCCUGGCGUGCCUGGGACGUCAAUUCGGCAUCUUGUGUUCUCUUCUGGCAUCCAUGAAACAGUGACAGGCCCCACAGACCCUUCACAGAUCCUGAAACUACUCGUCUGCCUAAGAGAAUCACGACACUGUUGGCAUAAUCUUCACCUCCUUAUGCUUUCCCUUCCAUGAAGCUGAGAAAGAGGAUGAGUCAAGUAACAUAAUAAACUUCUGAGAAGUGAUCAAGUCCUUGACUGGGAGAAUAACCAUCAUCAUGACACAGUCUCCAUGAGAAAAUUCAGAUUCAUCUUAUGUACUUCAAAUCACAUGCCUUUUCCAGGAAUGCAGCCUCCUAUAGCACCAUCUGGAUGUGGCAAAGUAUACAGCCUGUGGGAUUAAUUGACCAAAGAAGAAUGUUAGAAUUCCAGCUAAUUCAUGAAGUGUCCUUGGGAAGAUCACUUAUUUUCUCUAGGCUUCUGCAAAAUGGCAGCUUUUUAAUGAAAUCAUCUUCUGGGAUCUUAAAGGUUUCUCUUAGUAGACUAAGAAGCUAA